RNA transcript from Ficedula albicollis (Collared flycatcher), 4094 nucleotides. It is a transcript of the gene named RasGEF domain family member 1C, with no coding region annotated. Lineage: Eukaryota; Metazoa; Chordata; Aves; Passeriformes; Muscicapidae. The record is from RefSeq and is a predicted model, not a curated record. The transcript is spliced from 14 exons.
CAUGCCCCAAACGCUGAGCUCUACCAGUAUGUUUACCCCAUGUGGCUUCAGCCCUCAUCUACAUACUUCAAAAGAAGGUGAACAAGGAGGACUGAUCUUCCAGGAUGGAAACCUUACCUCAGCAUCUCUGGAUGCCCUAAUCCAGCAUCUGAUACCUACCACUGAUUACUACCCUGAAAAAGCCUAUAUCUUUACAUUCCUGCUGAGUUCCAGACUCUUCAUCGAGCCCCAUGAGCUUCUGUCUCGAGUUUGUCACAAGUGCAUUGAGCAGCAGCGGCUGGAUGACCCCGUGCUGGACAAGGCUCGAAUCAGAAAAUUUGGACCCAAAAUCCUACAGUUGUUGACAGAGUGGACCGAGACAUUCCCGUAUGACUUUCAGGAAGAGCGGAUGAUUGGCCAUCUGAAAGACAUGAUUCACAGGAUAGCCCCGUGUGAUGAGGCUUACUGGAAAAAGAUGAAUCAGCUUUUGCAAGCCCUUAAUCAGAAGCUUGCAACCCUCAGCCACGGGCAAGAAGGGAUUGUCAAGAUCAGUACUGCUGUCUCUGAUAAGCUGGUUGCCUUUAAAACUAAACCUCCAUCAAUUCAGAGAGAAAUCCUGAGCGUCUGCAGUGACCCUUACACCCUGGCUCAGCAGCUGACACAUGUGGAGCUGGAAAGACUAAGUCACAUUGGACCUGAGGAGUUUGUGCAGGCAUUUGUACACAAGGACCCUCUGGAUGGCACCAAGACUUGUUUCAGUGAACAGAAGAAGACAAGUAACCUUGAGGCCUAUGUGAAAUGGUUCAAUAGACUCUGCUAUCUCGUAGCAACAGAAAUUUGCAUGCCUGCAAAAAAGAAGCAGCGAGCACAAGUCAUCGAAUUCUUCAUUGACGUUGCCCGAGAGUGCUUUAACAUAGGGAAUUUUAAUUCACUGAUGGCAAUCAUUUCUGGAAUGAAUAUGAGUCCAGUUUCCAGGCUAAAGAAGACUUGGUCAAAAGUGAAAACAGCCAAAUUUUUCAUUCUCGAGCACCAGAUGGACCCUACUGGCAACUUCUACAACUACCGGACAGCGCUGCGGGGGGCUGCCCACAGGUCGCUCACUGCACACAGCAACAGGGAGAAGAUUGUGAUCCCCUUCUUCAGCCUAUUGAUCAAAGACAUUUAUUUUUUGAAUGAGGGAUGUGCUAAUCGCCUUCCAAAUGGACAUGUCAACUUUGAAAAAUUUCUGGAACUGGCUAAGCAAGUAGGAGAAUUUAUAACAUGGAAGCAAGUGGAGUGUCCAUUUGAGCAAGACCCUAACAUCAUCCACUACUUGCACACUGCUCCCAUUUUUACUGAAGAUGGUUUGUAUCUGGCUUCCUAUGAAAGUGAAAGUCCGGAAAACCAGACAGAAAAAGACAGGUGGAAAUCCUUAAGAUCCACUAUUUUAGGAAAGACUUGAAGAUUGAGAGAUUAUUGCAGUAGGUCAAGGAAAAGAAAUCGGCAAACAUUUUGCACUACUGAUUCCAAAGAUGCCUGUUUGGGAUUUAGACAAUUUCUUUUGUUUGAGUUUUUUUGUUGGGUUUUUUUUGUUUUUUUUUUUUGCCUGACAUGAUGGAUGAACUGGAUUCAUCCACUGAAAUCAACAGAACUGUGUGCACAAUGAUGCUUUUCUAACUAUGAGACAGAGAGAGGACAGACAAACAGACUAUUUGUGGCUGCGCCCAAACUGCAUCAGGAUCACUGUAACUUUGCCUCUGAAGGAAAAUGCAAGAAAACCAGGAGCAGGGAGAAUCAUGGUACUGCAACAGAGAAUGGAAAAGUAUAAAAAAGGAAAGCAAAAAUACGCAAGAGUAUUUCAGAAGCAGGUGCUUCAGACAGCAGUUCUUUAAACCUCUGAGGAUUGUAAAAUUAAAUCAAAGACAGACAACAGCAAUCUGGUUAAUUGCUGAAUGAAGAAAAAAACCCUUUAUCUUGCAUUAGCAGUCCCCCGGGCUUGUUGAACGAAGCACUGGCCGCUGCAGGUUUGAGCUUGCAGGGACGAGGACUGACCCCGCUCCCAUCACGUCAGCACGGACCGUGCUGAGCCCCUGGGGUCGGACAGGCAGCCUGGAGCCCGACUCCCGCUCAGUUCAUCCUCCCACCGCUCUGGUUCUUCCCUUACUGUGAAUCUGGGCCCGUCUGAGGGGGGCACAGAGGGUUGGUGGUGCUGCUUAUGACACCCCCACCACCUCUGAGGUUGAAUGAAGAAGCAAAUGACUCUGGACUCAACUUACCUCUAUUUAAUGUAUGUAGUGUAUUCCCUAGAUUUAUUGAUGCCGAGUUGCAUCUUUUAAGGGGUUUUAUCACACUCAAAGAAAAAAGGUACUGCAUUACCAUUUGUAUCAAGUUCCAAUUAACACAGUACUGUUUAUUUUGUAACACAAUGCUUAGGAGAAUGGGGGGGUAAUUGCUCUCAACUUGGGAACUACAUGGUAUGCUUUAAAAGGACAAAGGGUUCCAGACUGGAAUGAACGCAUAAAGAAUUUGUCAUUCAUGAGCAGAUAACCAUUUUUGUCUUUUUUACUUUUAGGAUGUAAAGUUCACCAUUUCCUUACAGAUAACAUGAAACAGGGACUAUGUCUCGUGUUUAAGGUUGUACAAUAUCAAGGUGCUACUGUAAGAGAUACAUUAAAUGAUAAUGAACUAUAUUAGAUUCAAAACUAAGCCCUAACAGUAGACUUACUGUCUGUGUGUUGAAGGAAUGUCCCUAACUGCCCCAGAAAAUAUCUCAAAAAGCUUAAAUGAAACCUAAAUGUCACAUCAUACUGAACUUUUACUGACUUGGUGCUACCUUUUCAGAUGUUCUUACAACAGAAGGAUGUAACCCUUUCAUUGAAAUCAGUAAUAGUUUUAUUUCAGCAGAGGGUGAUUUCAAGUGGCUGUAGUGUUUUCAAAAACUAGGGUAAUCACAAAACCUGGCUGUGUUGGCCUAUUCAGCCAGAAAGCUGGAACUGUUCCUGCCCUCUGCCAGGCCUCUGAGUGCCUGAGUGAGCUGUUGACCUGGAGAGAUUGGCAGGCUGGUGUUUGAGGGCAGCUCUAUGUGGUGCAUUCCAGGUUUGAGGUGUCUAAAUCCACUUGUGCUUGCUGAGCUGAGCAGGAUGGAUUCUUCUGGGUUUGCAAACAGGGCUUGAAGCAGAACUUCAGAUCUCCUUUUCCUGUAGGUCUAUCAGCAUAUGAAUUCAGACAGGGGGACAUAAAACUAUAAUGUGUUUAUUCAAGCUUUGUGUGGAAGAAUUAAGUGUAAGGAUGGUACAGCAUCAUUGCAGCCACAGAAUGAUGACUAUUCUGCUGAUACUGUGAAUCUGCUGUUUGUUAAUUUUUGUACAUGAGCUGAGAGCUAUACAGAGAAACUAUACACAUAUAGCUGUUCCUUCAGGCAGAACAAUUUCCAAAAUGAAGCCAUUAAAAGCCUGUUAAAUUUCAGAUGAAUCCAGAGCAAUAACCAUAAACAUAUCUACAACAAUGCUAAUGUUUAAGUGUGUUUGCUAAAUGGUCAUUCUUGUUAUUAUCUGCAUAUUUUUAACAGGCACAGUGUGACUUCACAGUGGAAAUAUGGGGCGUUUGCUUAUCUGAAACCCAGUGCAAGUAGAUGGGCCCUUUCUUAAAACCUGCUUUUUAUAAUGGAAAUCCUCACUCCUUUUCUAGUGAGCCACUAGAGGUUGGUACAGAUGAGAUUAUAAGACAGCGACAAUUAAUUAGAAUGUGAUUUUUCAUUAUACUUCCUUAUAUUUUGGAGCACCUUCCAUGAAUUUGGGCAAUUUUGGAAGUACAAGUUCAAUUAGAUCUCCUAAAGUUUAUCACUGUUGCAAACUAAACCAAUUUUGUAGCCCAAAACUUUCAAACCUCAGUGCUUAAAUGGAAGCAUAAAGGUCAGAUUUAGGUGGGUAUUAAGGGCUUAGUGGAACUAUCAGAAGCACUAAAUUAUUCUUUAGCCUUUAUAUAGCCGCACAUUUAAAAGGUCUUUUUUCAGAAGUGCUAAACAUCCUCAUCUCUUGGGGAGUAGCACUUUAUAGAGGUGCGUGGCACGUGAAUCUGUAGUAUUUGAUCUUCAGAGACACUCACUGCUCUUUGCAAAAUGACUUGGAGAUAAGAGU